CGUCCUACGGGGGGCAGCAGUGAGGAAUAUUGGUCAAUGGGCGCGAGCCUGAACCAGCCAAGUCGCGUGAGGGAAGACGGUCCUAUGGAUUGUAAACCUCUUUUGUCGGGGAGCAAAAGACGCCACGCGUGGCGUUCCGAGAGUACCCGAAGAAAAAGCAUCGGCUAACUCCGUGCCAGCAGCCGCGGUAAUACGGAGGAUGCGAGCGUUAUCCGGAUUUAUUGGGUUUAAAGGGUGCGCAGGCGGAGGUGCAAGUCAGCGGUCAACUUGCGGGGCUCAACCCCGUCCUGCCGUUGAAACUGCAU
This 305-nucleotide ribosomal RNA is filed under the name uncultured bacterium. RNAcentral's name for it is "bacterial SSU rRNA". It matches the Rfam family "Bacterial small subunit ribosomal RNA", at positions 335 to 638 of the family's 1533-position model. The record is from RNAcentral.